RNAcentral lists this ribosomal RNA (222 nucleotides) under uncultured bacterium. RNAcentral describes it as "partial 16S ribosomal RNA". It matches the Rfam family "Bacterial small subunit ribosomal RNA", at positions 1269 to 1500 of the family's 1533-position model. The record is from RNAcentral.
GGAUCUCGAAAGCCUGUCCCAGUUGGACUGGAGUCUGCAACCCGACUCCACGAAGUUGGAUUCGCUAGUAAUCGCGCAUCAGCCAUGGCGCGGUGAAUACGUUCCCGGGCCUUGUACACACCGCCCGUCAAGCCAUGGGAGCCGGGGGCGCCUGAAGUCCGGGACCGCGAGGACCGGCCUAGGGCGAAACUGGUAACUGGGGCUAAGUCGUAACAAGGUACC